Molecule: ribosomal RNA, 835 nt
Filed under: Vrystaatia aloeicola
Lineage: Eukaryota; Fungi; Ascomycota; Dothideomycetes; Pleosporales; Phaeosphaeriaceae
Description: eukaryotic LSU rRNA
Rfam family: Eukaryotic large subunit ribosomal RNA
Source: RNAcentral
GGGAUUGCCCUAGUAACGGCGAGUGAAGCGGCAACAGCUCAAAUUUGAAAUCUGGCUCUUUCAGAGUCCGAGUUGUAAUUUGCAGAGGGCGCUUUGGCGUUGGCAGCGGUCCAAGUUCUUUGGAACAGGACGUCACAGAGGGUGAGAAUCCCGUACGUGGUCGCUAGCCUUCGCCGUGUAAAGCCCCUUCGACGAGUCGAGUUGUUUGGGAAUGCAGCUCUAAAUGGGAGGUAAAUUUCUUCUAAAGCUAAAUACUGGCCAGAGACCGAUAGCGCACAAGUAGAGUGAUCGAAAGAUGAAAAGCACUUUGGAAAGAGAGUCAAAUAGCACGUGAAAUUGUUGAAAGGGAAGCGCUUGCAGCCAGACUUGCCUGUAGUUGCUUAUCCGGACUUUUGUCCGGUGCACUCUUCUGCGGGCAGGCCAGCAUCAGUUUGGGCGGUUGGAUAAAGGUCUCUGUCAUGUACCUCCUUUCGGGGAGGCCUUAUAGGGGAGACGACAUGCAACCAGCCUGGACUGAGGUCCGCGCAUCUGCUAGGAUGCUGGCGUAAUGGCUGUAAGCGGCCCGUCUUGAAACACGGACCAAGGAGUCUAACAUCUAUGCGAGUGUUUGGGUGUCAAGCCCAGACGCGUAAUGAAAGUGAACGGAGGUGGGAACCCUUUGGGUGCACCAUCGACCGAUCCUGAUGUCUUCGGAUGGAUUUGAGUAAGAGCAUGGCUGUUGGGACCCGAAAGAUGGUGAACUAUGCUUGAAUAGGGUGAAGCCAGAGGAAACUCUGGUGGAGGCUCGCAGCGGUUCUGACGUGCAAAUCGAUCGUCAAAUUUGGGCAUAGGGGCG